Molecule: long non-coding RNA, 594 nt
Organism: Anguilla anguilla (European eel)
Lineage: Eukaryota; Metazoa; Chordata; Actinopteri; Anguilliformes; Anguillidae
Exons: 2
Source: RefSeq, a predicted model, not a curated record
CCCCACCCAACCAUAGACCCAAAACACUACUUUGUAAGGGCCAUCUAAUCUCCUUUUAAAGAACCUUCUGCUAAGCCUGAAUGGAUUAAGUGCCUUAAGUCUUGUCUCCUUAGUUUGCAUGUCAUACCAUGAACCAGUUUUGUUGCCCUUCUUUGUACUUUUCAAGAACUGUAAUGUUGGGCUGCAACAACGAAUCAAUGAAAUCGAUAAAAUUCUAUUAUAAAAAAUAGUUGGCAACAAAUUUCAUUAUCGAUUUGUUGGGCCGAUGUUGCACGCUGUGCCGCGAAGCUGGUUACGUCACUUCAAGAAAGAAAAAACAUUUGAAACAUGGCAGAGGCAGAGAAAACUGUUUGACCAAAAUCAUCUGUAUAUAUGGGAGCACAUUAAAUUUGAGUAAAAAGUGUGCAAACUGUACAACCGAUCUUGCAUGGCACGGGAGCACCACGGUAAUCAGAGAACACCUGAAACAAAAACAUGUUGGAGCCAUGGAUGAAGGGGACUCAACAGCAGGAAAUAAACAACUCUCCAUGAGUGGCUACUUGAUGGAGAAUAAAGUGCCAUGCACACCACAGCAAGCGGCUGUUUUGACAGAUA